UACGGAGGAUGCAAGCGUUAUCCGGAAUUACUAGGCGUAAAGGGCAGGCAGGCGGAUCCAUAAGUUUAUCGUUUAAGGCGUCGGCUUAACCGGCGUAGGGCGGUAGAUACUGUGGAUCUGGAAUGCGGUUGGGGAAGACAGAAUUCCUGGUGUAGCGGUGGAAUGCGCAGAGAUCAGGAGGAAUACCGAAGGCGAAGGCAGUCUUCCAAGCCGUUAUUGACGCUCAACUGCGAAGGUGUGGGUAUCAAACAGGAUUAGAUACCCUGGUAGU
This 271-nucleotide ribosomal RNA is filed under the name uncultured prokaryote. Its description in RNAcentral is "partial 16S ribosomal RNA". It matches the Rfam family "Bacterial small subunit ribosomal RNA", at positions 524 to 794 of the family's 1533-position model. The record is from RNAcentral.